RNAcentral lists this ribosomal RNA (460 nucleotides) under uncultured bacterium. RNAcentral's name for it is "partial 16S ribosomal RNA". It matches the Rfam family "Bacterial small subunit ribosomal RNA", at positions 338 to 795 of the family's 1533-position model. The record is from RNAcentral.
CCUACGGGUGGCAGCAGUGAGGAAUAUUGGUCAAUGGGCGCGAGCCUGAACCAGCCAAGUAGCGUGAAGGAUGACUGCCCUACGGGUUGUAAACUUCUUUUAUAAAGGAAUAAAGUGCGGCACGUGUGCCUCCUUGUAUGUACUUUAUGAAUAAGGAUCGGCUAACUCCGUGCCAGCAGCCGCGGUAAUACGGAGGAUCCGAGCGUUAUCCGGAUUUAUUGGGUUUAACGGGAGCGUAGGUGGGUUGUUAAGUCAGGUGUGAAAGUUUGCGGCUCAACCGUAAAAUUGCAAUUGAUACUGGCAGUCUUGAGUGCAGUUGAGGUAGGCGGAAUUCAUGGUGUAGCGGUGAAAUGCUUAGAUAUCACGAAGAACUCCGAUUGCGAAGGCAACUUACUAAGCUGCAACUGACAUUGAUGCUCGAAAGUGUGGGUAUCAAACAGGAUUAGAUACCCGGGUAGUC